AAACUUAAAGGAAUUUGACGGGGGCCCGCACAAGCAGCGGAGCAUGUGGUUUAAUUCGAAGCAACGCGAAGAACCUUACCUGGACUUGACAUCUCCUGAAUUACUCUUAAUAGAGGAAGCCCUUCGGGGCAGGAAGACAGGUGGUGCAUGGUUGUCGUCAGCUCGUGUCGUGAGAUGUUAGGUUAAGUCCUGCAACGAGCGCAACCCUUAUCAUUAGUUGCUACCAUUAAGUUGAGCACUCUAGUGAGACUGCCCGGGUUAACCGGGAGGAAGGUGGGGAUGACGUCAAAUCAUCAUGCCCCUUAUGUCCAGGGCUACACACGUGCUACAAUGGUGAGUACAACAAGAUGCAAUCCCGUGAGGGGAGCCAAACUUAUAAACUCAUCUCAGUUCGGAUUGUAGGCUGAAACUCGCCUACAUGAAGCUGGAGUUGCUAGUAAUCGCGAAUCAGCAUGUCGCGGUGAAUACGUUCCCGGGCCUUGUACACACCGCCCGUCACACCAUGAGAGCUGGCAACACCCGAAGUCCGUAGUCUAACCGUAAGGAGGACGCGGCCGAAGGUGGGGUUAGUGAUUGGGGUGAAGUCGUAACAAGGUAGCCGUAGGAGAACCUGCGGCUGGAUCACCUCCUUU
This 632-nucleotide ribosomal RNA is filed under the name uncultured Clostridium sp. RNAcentral's name for it is "bacterial SSU rRNA". It matches the Rfam family "Bacterial small subunit ribosomal RNA", at positions 897 to 1533 of the family's 1533-position model. Lineage: Bacteria; Bacillati; Bacillota; Clostridia; Eubacteriales; Clostridiaceae. The record is from RNAcentral.